This is a long non-coding RNA of Manis pentadactyla (Chinese pangolin), 612 nucleotides long. RefSeq lists it as uncharacterized. The record is from RefSeq and is a predicted model, not a curated record. NCBI's taxonomy places the organism in Eukaryota, Metazoa, Chordata, Mammalia, Pholidota, Manidae. The transcript has 3 exons.
UCCCUCCCCGCCGUCCGCUCCCCGCAGCACCCCUGCGCCUCCUGCUUCCGAUGUCCGCCAGCGCGAGAGGCCCCUCCGACCCAGCCCCACCGUCCGCUCCCUGUACGGCAAAGAGAGACUAGAGGCGGCCCAACUGCGUGCGCCUUGACCGAGGAAAUGAGCUGUGUGCGCGUGCCUGCUCCAGAGAGGGCUGGCUAACCUCCCUGGAACAGUUUACUGGGAAAAAGCAGGUAUAUGUACGUACCAGCAGAAGAGCCCCGGCUCCUAGCCAGAUCCGGGAUUCUUCCCUGGUAAAGCCACGCACUCUGUGUUUGGCACAGGGCCACCUUUGUUCAGGGCAUGUAUUAAAAGGCGUAUAUGAAGAAGGGAAAAGUGCCUUGCCUGGUCUAGCAAGCGCCUGGCUCUGCAGCUGAUGUCUACCUUCUGAAUGAUACAUCGUUUUGUGCUGUGUGUUGCCAGCGAUGUGAACGGUGGAUUGGUGGAAACACAUUUUUGAGUUGGUGUUUCCGUGGCAACUGGGGCUUGAUAGCUGGAGAUCAUCUCACCAAUCAUGAGCAAUGGUAUCCUGGCAUGUAUCCACAUGCACUGUACAGGCAAAGGCUUGAAUAGUUU